RNAcentral lists this ribosomal RNA (370 nucleotides) under uncultured organism. Its description in RNAcentral is "partial 16S ribosomal RNA". It matches the Rfam family "Bacterial small subunit ribosomal RNA", at positions 527 to 896 of the family's 1533-position model. The record is from RNAcentral.
GUAGGUGGCAAGCGUUGUCCGGAAUUAUUGGGCGUAAAGCGCGCGCAGGCGGUUCUUUAAGUCUGAUGUGAAAGCCCACGGCUCAACCGUGGAGGGUCAUUGGAAACUGGAGAACUUGAGUACAGAAGAGGAAAGCGGAAUUCCACGUGUAGCGGUGAAAUGCGUAGAGAUGUGGAGGAACACCAGUGGCGAAGGCGGCUUUCUGGUCUGUAACUGACGCUGAGGCGCGAAAGCGUGGGGGAGCAAACAGGAUUAGAUACCCUGGUAGUCCACGCCGUAAACGAUGAGUGCAAGUGUUAGGGGGUUUCCGCCCCUUAGUGCUGCAGCUAACGCAUUAAGCACUCCGCCUGGGAGUACGGCCGCAAGGCUG